AUUAACGUGGGGCUUCGGCCCCGCCGAGAUAGAACCCUUGCCUUUUUGUAUACCGUCCGUUUCCUCGGCAGGCUCGCCUGCCAAUGGGGACCAUAAUAAACCUUUGUAAUAACCUGUAAUUGUCUGAUCAAAAAAUUAAAUUUAAAACUUUUAACAACGGAUCUCUUGGUUCUGGCAUCGAUGAAGAACGCAGCGAAAUGCGAUAAGUAAUGUGAAUUGCAGAAUUCAGUGAAUCAUCGAAUCUUUGAACGCACAUUGCGCCCUCUGGUAUUCCGGGGGGCAUGCCUGUUCGAGCGUCAUUACAACCCUCAAGCUUUGCUUGGUAUUGGACAUUGCCAGUUUCUGGCAGGUCUUAAAAUCAGUGGCGGUGCCAUUUGGCUUCAAGCGUAGUAAUUCUUCUCGCUUUGGAGAUCCAAGUGGUUACUUGCCAAUAACCCCCAAUUUUUUCAGGUUGACCUCGGAUCAGGUAGGGAUACCCGCUGAACUUAAGCAUAUCAAUAAGCGGAGGA
This 509-nucleotide ribosomal RNA is filed under the name uncultured Thelebolales. RNAcentral describes it as "eukaryotic LSU rRNA". The stretch from base 146 to 299 matches the Rfam family "5.8S ribosomal RNA". The record is from RNAcentral. Lineage: Eukaryota; Fungi; Ascomycota; Leotiomycetes; Thelebolales.